This 253-nucleotide ribosomal RNA is filed under the name uncultured bacterium. RNAcentral describes it as "partial 16S ribosomal RNA". It matches the Rfam family "Bacterial small subunit ribosomal RNA", at positions 524 to 776 of the family's 1533-position model. The record is from RNAcentral.
UACGUAGGGUGCAAGCGUUGUCCGGAAUUAUUGGGCGUAAAGAGCUUGUAGGCGGUUUGUCGCGUCUGCUGUGAAAUUUCGGGGCUCAACCCCGAACUUGCAGUGGGUACGGGCAGACUAGAGUGUGGUAGGGGAGACUGGAAUUCCUGGUGUAGCGGUGAAAUGCGCAGAUAUCAGGAGGAACACCGGUGGCGAAGGCGGGUCUCUGGGCCGUAACUGACGCUGAGGAGCGUAAGCGUGGGGAGCGAACAGG